GACGAACGCUGGCGGCGUGCCUAAUACAUGCAAGUAGAACGCUGAAGAGAGGAGCUUGCUCUUCUUGGAUGAGUUGCGAACGGGUGAGUAACGCGUAGGUAACCUGCCUUGUAGCGGGGGAUAACUAUUGGAAACGAUAGCUAAUACCGCAUAACAAUGGAUGACACAUGUCAUUUAUUUGAAAGGGGCAAUUGCUCCACUACAAGAUGGACCUGCGUUGUAUUAGCUAGUAGGUGAGGUAAUGGCUCACCUAGGCGACGAUACAUAGCCGACCUGAGAGGGUGGUCGGCCACACUGGGACUGAGACACGGCCCAGACUCCUACGGGAGGCAGCAGUAGGGAAUCUUCGGCAAUGGGGGCAACCCUGACCGAGCAACGCCGCGUGAGUGAAGAAGGUUUUCGGAUCGUAAAGUUCUGUUGUAAGUCAAGAACGGGUGUGAGAGUGGAAAGUUCACACUGUGACGGUAGCUUACCAGAAAGGGACGGCUAACUACGUG
RNAcentral lists this ribosomal RNA (497 nucleotides) under uncultured bacterium. RNAcentral describes it as "partial 16S ribosomal RNA". It matches the Rfam family "Bacterial small subunit ribosomal RNA", at positions 28 to 507 of the family's 1533-position model. The record is from RNAcentral.